CACAACUAAGUAAUGGGUCUGGAUCCACAAUGGGGGGCAAGGUGUUGAUGACGGGCCCCGCGUGCAGGUGAAUCACAAAGAAGACCUGCCAUGUGAAGGCAAAGGAAGAGAGAGAACAGUGGUGGGUUGCUACCGAUUCGCCCUGGAUUGGGCAAACCGGUAGUGGCGGGGGCGGGAGGCUCUGCCCUCCCGCUUCUGUGCAUGCAUCGAGCGAACCGGUAGUGACGGAUUUUGAAACCCGCCCCUGGGAGAGAGGACUGCUGCCUACAUGCUAAUGUCUCCAGGUUCUCUUUGACGAAAUCCUCACCUUGUAAUCAUGAAUGAUCCGCUCUGCAAAGGCUUUGUCCAGCAUCUUCUUGUACCACUCCUGCAGACGUUUAGGUUUGGGGAUUUUUUGGUCAGGGGGGUGACAAUGGAAGAUGUAAUCAUCACCCUCACUUGGUGGGCAGGCCCAGAUGUGGCCCGUCACAUACCUGUGAGUUUCACACAAGCAAGACAUCCCAGUUAAGUAAUAGUUUUGUCCAGAAUUGGAGGCAGCCAUCCUAACUGCUCAACUGCAGUAGAAAUAAUAUUUAGAUAACCAGCACUUACACUCAAUCAUUCAUUCAUACCUCCAUAUGCCUCUUGAAUCUAUAACCACUGUUGAUACAGUACCUUAAAAAAAAAAAAAGAGCUGACCCUGCUUGCACAAGCAGCAUUCCCCUGAAGUCUGUGAAGCCCUACCCAUGUUGCUCUCUGUGGAGGUCAUAAAGAUGGGAUCUGGGCCUGCAAAACUAGGACUGUCAAUCUAUACCAAUAUUAAAUUUGGGCAUUCA
Pantherophis guttatus is the source of this 815-nucleotide non-coding RNA. Lineage: Eukaryota; Metazoa; Chordata; Lepidosauria; Squamata; Colubridae. The record is from RefSeq and is a predicted model, not a curated record.